This 70-nucleotide transfer RNA is filed under the name Onthophagus cuniculus. RNAcentral describes it as "tRNA-Ala". It matches the Rfam family "tRNA". From Rfam's summary of the family: Transfer RNA (tRNA) molecules are approximately 80 nucleotides in length. Their secondary structure includes four short double-helical elements and three loops (D, anti-codon, and T loops). Further hydrogen bonds mediate the characteristic L-shaped molecular structure. tRNAs have two regions of fundamental functional importance: the anti-codon, which is responsible for specific mRNA codon recognition, and the 3' end, to which the tRNAs corresponding amino acid is attached (by aminoacyl-tRNA synthetases). tRNAs cope with the degeneracy of the genetic code in two manners: having more than one tRNA (with a specific anti-codon) for a particular amino acid; and 'wobble' base-pairing, i.e. permitting non-standard base-pairing at the 3rd anti-codon position. Lineage: Eukaryota; Metazoa; Arthropoda; Insecta; Coleoptera; Scarabaeidae. The record is from RNAcentral.
AGGGUAAUAGUUAAAUAUAACAUUUAAUUUGCAUUUAAAAAGUAUUGAUUUUAUAUAUCAAUUUACCUUA